AGAAAAAAAAUGGAAAAUUUUACAAUUGCGGAACUGUCAAAUAUGCAUUUUAUCUAUGGCCGAAGUAAUAGAAAUGGACGGAAGCUCGACGAUUGUAUGCUGAGUUGUAUCCAGGACGUAGAGUACUCCAUCACACAAUAUUUGCUCAUCUUCACCAACGUUUGCGUGAAAAUGGUACGUUUUAGAAACAAACGGCUGACUACGGGCGCCCUCGGCCAGUACGAACGGUGCAACUAGAAGAAGCAGUUCUAGAGUUAAUUGCGGAGUCACCUGAAAUAAAUACUCGAAAAAUUGCCAACAUAUUGAAUAAAUUAGCGCCAGAGCUCCUCUACAUUAUGCACAUGAAUGUACAUAAUUAUUUUACCAACGGGUUUCCAGGUCUUAGUGUAGGACGAAGGGGUACGAUUGAGUGGCCUCCACGGUUACCACGGAGCAAAUCUCAUUGAGCUUUAUGUAGGGACACAUAAAAACAACCGAAUAUCAUAAACCACCUGAGAUAUUGGCAUGGAUACACUGCUCGCGACACACUCGCGACACAGCAAAUGUACCAGGGUGUAUGGCAACGGUUUGAAGGAGGCGGUUUAAUCCACGUCUGUUUUUUUAUGGAUCCAGUCUGUGGGGCAAACAUGUUUACUUUGAGAGGCGCAAUUGUCAAAUGAAAAAGUGUUUUUUUUUAUAUUGUCGUCCCUGAUCGGUCACGCAAAGUUGUUUAUUGAAAGAAUG
Long non-coding RNA from Anthonomus grandis grandis, 723 nucleotides. RefSeq lists it as uncharacterized. Lineage: Eukaryota; Metazoa; Arthropoda; Insecta; Coleoptera; Curculionidae. The record is from RefSeq and is a predicted model, not a curated record. The transcript has 3 exons.